This 380-nucleotide ribosomal RNA is filed under the name uncultured eukaryote. Its description in RNAcentral is "partial 18S ribosomal RNA". It matches the Rfam family "Eukaryotic small subunit ribosomal RNA", at positions 592 to 976 of the family's 1831-position model. The record is from RNAcentral.
CAAUAGCGUAUAUUAAAGUUGUUGCAGUUAAAAAGCUCGUAGUUGGAUUUGUGGCGUACGGUGUGUUCCGGGCACUUGUUGUCUGAGUAACCUGCUGUUGCCAUCCUUGGGUGGAACCUGUGUGGCAUUAGGUUGUCGUGCAGGGGAUGCCCAUCAUUUACUGUGAAAAAAUUAGAGUGUUCAAAGCAGGCUUAUGCCGUUGAAUAUAUUAGCAUGGAAUAAUGGGAUAGGACUUUCUUGCUAUUUUGUUGGUUUGCGCAAAGAGGUAAUGAUUAAUAGGGACAGUUGGGGGUAUUCGUAUUCCAUUGUCAGAGGUGAAAUUCUUGGAUUUUUGGAAGACGAACUACUGCGAAAGCAUUUACCAAGGAUGUUUUCAUUAA